This is a long non-coding RNA of Spodoptera frugiperda (fall armyworm), 643 nucleotides long. RefSeq lists it as uncharacterized. The transcript is spliced from 2 exons. The record is from RefSeq and is a predicted model, not a curated record. Lineage: Eukaryota; Metazoa; Arthropoda; Insecta; Lepidoptera; Noctuidae.
UUAACCCGGCGUCAUGGGGGUUGGGUCUGUGCGACCCACCACAUUUUAUUUCGCUUGUAGUUCGGUUACUAUGCGUGUGACGUUGCUGCUCUUCUCAAUAGCUGGAGCUGUUGAGUUGUCCUAUGCGUCGCAAGCUACACGUUAGUCGUGCCACGGCCGCAGUGGGAGAUACAGGUGCACAAAGUUAAAAAAGGUACUUAGUAAAAAUGGACCAUGAAGAGGCUGAACGACAGCGUAUUCUGGCAAUUUUACAAGAGUCUGACUCUGACACUGAGUUGUCAGACCAGGAUGUGUGUGACAAAGAAGAUCACUUGAGUGAGCGUAGUAUUUCAAUUGACACAGAACAGGAUAUCUCAGAGUCUGAUAAUGAUGACAUUCCACUGUCUAUUCGAUUGCAAUAUAUCUGCGUAGAACAUAUAGUACCUUUCUGUGCUGACUGUACCAAAGAUAAUGAUUCCAAAUGAUUAAUUGUGUAUUUUUUAAAUUUAUUUAGUUACCUACAAAAAAGUGCCAUAAAAUUUUAAGACUGAUUGUUAAUUAAUAAUAAUAUAAUUACAUUUAAGUAGAAGAGAAAAUUUUUGUUGAUAAUUUUAGUUCUUUUUUUAAAUGUUAUUAUAUAUAAUUAAAACAUAAUAUAACAUAA